This 472-nucleotide ribosomal RNA is filed under the name uncultured Sphingomonas sp. RNAcentral's name for it is "bacterial SSU rRNA". It matches the Rfam family "Bacterial small subunit ribosomal RNA", at positions 911 to 1382 of the family's 1533-position model. Lineage: Bacteria; Pseudomonadati; Pseudomonadota; Alphaproteobacteria; Sphingomonadales; Sphingomonadaceae. The record is from RNAcentral.
UGACGGGGCCCGCACAAGCGGUGGAGCAUGUGGUUUAAUCGAAGCAACGCGCAGAACCUUACCAACCCUUGACAGUGGGAAGUUUGGGCUCGGGAGACUGGGUCCUUCAGUUCGGCUGGCUUCCACACAGGUGCUGCAUGGCUGUCGUCAGCUCGUGUCGUGAGAUGUUGGGUUAAGUCCCGCAACGAGCGCAACCCUCGCCUUUAGUUGCCAUCAUUCAGUUGGGCACUCUAAAGGAACCGCCGGUGACAAGCCGGAGGAAGGUGGGGAUGACGUCAAGUCCUCAUGGCCCUUACGGGUUGGGCUACACACGUGCUACAAUGGCGGUGACAGAGGGAUGCAAUACCGCGAGGUGGAGCAAAUCCCUAAAAGCCGUCUCAGUUCGGAUUGUUCUCUGCAACUCGAGAGCAUGAAGUUGGAAUCGCUAGUAAUCGCGGAUCAGCUCGCCGCGGUGAAUACGUUCCCGGGCCUU